AUUAUCGUACUGAAGAAAACAAUUCUAUAUUACCUAUAUUCGUUUCAUUUUCAAAUUUCCAAUUGUUACAAGAAUUGUUAUAGUCAUUUUUGUUGAACUAGGAUGCAAAAAAAAUUAUUCAUACAUUGUAUUGGGUUGUCUCUUAAAUGUCUUUUAACCCCAGAAUGCCUACUCCUUCCUUUUUUGAAAUGACACUUACUGAAGAGCCCUGGCAGUUACGGAAUAUCACAGAUAUUCUGCUCACCUGAUUGUUUCUAAAUGUUAACUUGUGCCUCUACCCCCUCUCCAUUUCCUGUCAGCUGGAGGUCUAGAUGCUUGGUUAGAUUCCAGUCAACAAUUUCUUGGUGAGAUACUGCUGUGUUCUUGGUAUCAUCUUAGGAAGCACAGAAACAUCAGGCCGUCCCAUAAGUGACACUAGGUUUGAUCACUUGAUUAUGGUGGCGGCAGUCAGAUCUGUCAAUUGUGAAGAUUGGUGUUUUCCAAAUUAGGCGUGGUGGCUCACAUCUGCAGUCCCAGCUACUCAGGGGUGCUGAGGUGGGAAGAUCACUUGAGCCUGAGAAGUCGAGGCUGCAGUGAGCUGUGAUCACAUCACUGCACUCCGGCCUGGGGGACAAAGCGAGACGCCCCUCUCUAAAAUAAGUAAAGAUUGAUGUUUUCCUUUUGCAAGUGACCUGUGCAGCAACAUUUGAGUGUUGUGCUAAAAUUCUGUUCCUCAGCAGCCUUUUACCUGAAAGGUUUUGGCAUCCAGUGAUCUUUGCCUGGUCAGUUAUCUCAUUAAUGGGUUAAAAUGUUGGAACCUCUCAUGGCACAUGCUGAGCAGCCAGUAGUCUUCAGGACAAUGGAUUCUCUAGGUAAACUUGUCACCACACUGUUCCAAGUGAGGCUGGAAGACAGUUUGUCAACACCAUAUUUCAGGCUGGAGGUGGAAAGAAGCUGUUGAGGAAACUCCCUUUGCAAGCCCUACUCCCAGCUCCCAGCUGGUGAGACAAUUUACAUGGAAAAACCAUGAAUACAACACAAGAUCUGAAGUGUCUCCACCCUCUAGGCACCUAGGGAAAGCUUGGAUUUGCUUUGGUACACUGUCUAGUUGUACAGGAUCCCUGCAACUAGUAGUCAGACCUGCCUUCCUAACAAACCUGCUGAAAAAGGUAGUAAUAGUUAAUGCAAAGAUGAAAAACACUGGUCUGCCAAAUUAGAAACAACUCCGCAGACCUAACUGGCACUUAUCAUCAUGCACUAUACAUUCAAAUAGGAAAGAACAAAAGAACAUACACAAAAUAUCGGGAACACAUUGUUAACUGUGUCUACAAAGCAGGGUGAGGACAGGGCACGCGGCUCAGGGCCUAUAAUCCCAGUACUUGGCAAGGCCAAGGUGGGAGGAUCGCUUGAGGCCAGGAGUUGGAGACAAGCCUGGGCAACGUGAGACCGUCUCCACAAAAGAAGUUUUAAAAAUUAGCUGGGCAUGGUGGUGAGCUCCUGUAGUUCCAGGGACUUAGGAGGCUGGGGAGGGAGAAUUGCUUGAAGCCAGGAGGUCAAGGCUGCAGUGACCUAUGACGGCACCACUGCAAAAAUAAAGGCAGGCAGGAUGAUGUGUAAGAAUGGACAGAAUUUCAAAAUCAAAUUUCUAGAGAGCUUUUCAGAAUAAAAAGUUUGAAGAGUGAGACGGCAUCCUAAGAUAUUUCAUUUUAUAUUACAUAGUUAAGUUUCAAAUUAUUUUCUGGAGGAAAAUUAAACACCUUCUAAAAACCUAAAGGCAGAUGAAGCUCACAGGUGAAAGUCACUCCACUCUGGGGCUCCAGAAGGCUGAGUCUUAGUCAACAUGACUUUUUUUUUCUUUUCAGAGACAGGGUCUCAUUCUGUCACCCAGUCUGAAGUACAGUGGUACAAUCUUGGCUCACUGCACACCCCGCCUCCCAGGCUCAAGCGAUCCUCCUCCAUCAGCCUCCCGAAUAGCUGGGGCUACAGGCAAGUGCCACCAGGCUCAGCUACUUUUUGUAUUUUUUGUAGAGAUGGGGUUUUGCCAUGUUGCUCAGGCUGGUCUCAAACUCCUGGGCUCAAACGAUCCUCCUGCCUCAGCCUCUCAAAGUGCAAGGCUUAUGGGUGUGAGCCACCACACCCAGUCUUCUACAUGGUUUUUCUGAAAGCUCUGAUUACAUGCUGAAUUUACAAAUGGUGGAAAACAAGGAGUAAUGGUUAAUAAGCUGAAUGGUACAGUACAAAUUACACAAGGAACAAUACAUGAAUUAGAAAUUUAAAAUUUAGUUGAAAUAUAAAAUAAAUUAUUGCCAGAAACACAAAGGGCACAUGAAUACAAUAGGGGAAACAGCUUAAUGGCUUUCUGUUCUCUGAAAACUCAAGGCUCCAAGUUACUGGGCUUGGGCAAAGUCACACAUUUUCUCAACAAAGGCCAACUGCUGACAAUCCAAAUUUUAAAAACACUGCCAUUAGGCCAGGCGCAGUGGCUCACGCCUGUAAUCCCAGCACUUUGGGAGGCUGAGGCAGGUGGAUCACGAGGUCAGGAGUUCCAGACCAGCCUGGCCAACAUAGUGAAACCCCAUCUCUACUAAAAAUACAAAAAAUUAGCUGAGCGUGGUGGAGGGCGCCUGUAAUCCCAGCUACAGGGGAGGCUGAGACAGGAGAAUCGCUUGCACCUGGAAGGCGGAGGCUGCAGUGAGCCAGGAUCGCGCCACUGCACUCCAGGCCAGAUGACAGUGUGAGGCUUCAUCUCAAAAACGAACAAAAAACCCACUGCCAUUAAAAGCUUUAUUUUAUUUACUUAUUUUUUAGAGACAGGGUCUUGCUAUGUUACCCAGGCUGGCCUUGAACUUCUGGGCUCCAGCCAUCCUCCUGCCUCAGCCUCCUGAGUAGCUGGAACACAGAUGUGCACCACCACCACACGCAGGAAGAGCUUUAUUUUAGAAAGUACUCUUCCUACAUGUGAAGUCUCCAAGAAUAAAGAAAAGAAAGUACUCGUCUUUGGCAAACAGUGGAGAUCUUCUGAACCUUUUUUGAGAUGGAGUUUCACUCAUCGCCCUGGCUGGAGUAGCAAUAGCACAAUCUUGGCUCACUGCAACCUCUGCCUCCCGGGUUCAAGCAAUUCUGCUGCCUUAGCCUCCUGAGUAGCUGGAAUUACAGGUGCCUGCCACCAGGCCCGGCUAAUUUUUUUUUUUUUUUUUAGUAGAGAUGGGGUUUCACCAUGUUGACCAGGUUGGUCUUGAACUACUGACCUCAGGUGAUCCACCUGCCUCAGCCUUCCAAAGUGCUGGGAUUACAGGCAUGAGCCACCGUGCCCGACCGAGUUCUUUUUUUAAUGAAAAGAAUUUGACAUUCCUGCAGUAGAUAUAAGGCAGCAGAAACAGGAACUGUGCAGGCAUGUGUAACAAGAAUGCAGAUGCCAUUUAUU
RNAcentral lists this long non-coding RNA (3403 nucleotides) under Homo sapiens (human). RNAcentral describes it as "HSALNT0258667". Lineage: Eukaryota; Metazoa; Chordata; Mammalia; Primates; Hominidae. The record is from RNAcentral.